RNAcentral lists this long non-coding RNA (437 nucleotides) under Sarcophilus harrisii (Tasmanian devil). RNAcentral's name for it is "lncRNA (ENSSHAG00000026153.1)". The record is from RNAcentral. Lineage: Eukaryota; Metazoa; Chordata; Mammalia; Dasyuromorphia; Dasyuridae.
GUAAAUAAUUUCUGUGUUAGAACCUCAGAGGCUCUUCUGAGUAAAAUCCACAUUCUUUAGUGUUAUGAAAUUGUAGCAUUAAUUUUGUCUUUCCAGAAAGUUUUUCUUAACUUAUUGGUUCUUGACUGUGUUCUAGAUGGCUGAGAUUGCCAGAAGUCUGACCUCCAGAUAAAUGAGGUGUUGUCACACAUUGAGUGCAUAAAUAAAGGGAAGAAGCUUGGAGGGAAAAGUCACAGAGCCAUCAAAAGUUUACCCAAUUUAUUCAUCCCUCCACACUCAGAAUAGAAAAGGUAAUGUAAUAAUAAUGUAGCUUUUGCUUUUGUCUGCAAUUCUACAAAUUUAUAUUUUUCAGUUUCAUGUCAUUGAAAAACUGACUCAACUAAUAUUCUGUUAAUGAGUACAUAAUUUGCUACAUUAUUUGCUACAUAUAAAAUGCU